Molecule: ribosomal RNA, 115 nt
Filed under: Microcebus murinus (gray mouse lemur)
Lineage: Eukaryota; Metazoa; Chordata; Mammalia; Primates; Cheirogaleidae
Source: RNAcentral
ACCAUAGGCCAUACCACCCUGAACGUACCUAAUCUCCUCUGAUCUCAGAAGCUAAGCAGGUUAGUACUAACCUGCUUGGUUAGUACUAACAGUGCAGUGGCUCACGCCUGUAAUC